ACAGAAAAGAAUUGGCAAAGGUGCGUGCAGUGAUUAUAACGGCAACACCCCAGUGAGCCAUACCUGCCUGUUGGAUCUCUCAUAACCUUCCUCUCAGCCUCUGAGGACAAACGACUGUCCUGAUCUGCACCGUAUUCAAUUAGAAAGGACUUGAUUACUAAGUAGGUCUCAGUAAGCACCCAGGACAUCCAUACCUUUCAUGGAUGGGAAGAUUGACACAGAAAUGGCAGGACCGUAUUCCUUUCCGCUCGGUGCUGGAGCCAGUCCCUCCUCACGAUUCCUCUUCUCCCACACACAACUUUAAAGUGGAACACAAGGGGGCAGGAGUCCUCAUCCAGCUAACACCGGAGGUGAUGCCAGGGCGCGAGAGAAGCUUUGUGAGAGGGGACAGAAUGGAGCGGUUGGUGGGGCUGUGCAUGAAGAGACUGGAAGAAUGAAACGUUUGUAGGCUGGUUGUUACACCAGCCCCGUGCUCAAGGAGCAAAGAAUUAAAGUGCUCCUCUGAAAGGGAGGAGUUGCAAGAAGAGACACAGAA
Molecule: long non-coding RNA, 535 nt
Organism: Artibeus jamaicensis (Jamaican fruit-eating bat)
Lineage: Eukaryota; Metazoa; Chordata; Mammalia; Chiroptera; Phyllostomidae
Exons: 3
Source: RefSeq, a predicted model, not a curated record